UUUUUUUUUUUUUGGUUGGGAGCAGGGGAGAAGAUGUAGAAAGAGAUGAGAUAACUUUAGGGAAACAAGUCAAAAGAAUGAUCAAAAUGUCAAGGUUGUACCUGCAGGCACAAGCAGAAAGGAACCAUCAGGGGACCAAGAUAAUCUUCUGAAGAAAGAUGGUAGUGUCUCAUCAAGAAAGAGAUGAUUUUUAGUAGACUGCACACAUUUGCAUGAGCAAAAGUUAUUAUGUAUGUAACAUUAACUUAUACUGAAUAAGGAACUGAUAUGAUAUAUGACCUUGGACUCAUCCGGCUGUUGUGGUUCAACCUUCAUAAUGACAUGUUGACACACAAAAUUCAACUUCUCAACUCCUUUUGUUUUAGAUGGUCUGUUGAUGUAAAUCCGGCAAGAUCUAUCUGAACUGAGUGAGGCAGCAUACUUGGACAAUGGAUCCCACGUCACACCUUGCACGUAGUGCAAAUGAGCAUCCAAUAUCUGAUGAACUGAACCUGAUGAGGAAAUGGCAGACUGUCAGUAUAAAGUUUAUUUAUCUCUACUUAAAAAUCCUUCAGUUAGAUCCUCAUUUAUUUCUUACCUUUGUUGACAUCCCAUAUGAUGCAUGAAUUAUCAACAGAACCAGAAAUUAGAAAAGAACCAUCAGUAGACCACUCCAAGUCCAAUACAUCCUUACGAUGAAAUCUGAGAAAGAUCAAGUCUUGAGUACUUGUAUCGAAUAAGAAAUAAUUUCAUUAAAACAAUGAUUAUGCUCCUUUUGUUACAGCAACUCAAAGGCAAUAGGUGAAAUAUCUUAUCCAUGACUAUCGCAGUUGACAGUUUAAGCACUUCCUCGAAGAAAAACUAAGCUGGAAAGUUAUGACCAACAUUCGGGAAGUCUGUUUAAUAUGGACUAUCAGAAUAUUAUGGAUUAUUUAUAUUGGGAUUACUUAUUAUUUAGGGUAGACGUUAGCAAAAUAAAUUAAUAUAUAUAUAUAUAUAUACAAUAACAUUCUUGUUAAAGUUUGAUUAGCACAUAAAUCCGAUUCUUUUCCUGUAAAAUCAGUGAUUAUAUAGUGCAUAUGCUGGUUGAUUGCAACAUUCUGCAUAAACCAAAAAGGUAGCCCGGUGCACAAAUAAUCUUGCAGUCACGCAGGGUCCGGGGAAGGGCCGCACCCAAGGGAUGUGAUGUAGACAGCCUACCCUAAUGCAAGUAUUAGUGGCUAAUUCCACGGCUUGAACCCGUGACCUAUAGGUCACGCAGAAAUAACUUUACCGUUACUCCAAGGGUCAAUUCAUUUGGAUAAUAUUUUGGUUUAAGCAGAAUAAAGGGGAGCCUACAUUUGAGAUGAAUUUAACCCUUCACCCGCCAUUCACAAAUGGUUCACCUCUAGAGUCUAGAUGGAAAGUAACGGCUGGACUCACAAUUACACCCAUGGACCAUAAUCUCUCUCUUUGAGUUCCCCUCAAGACAAGAGGCAAUGAGAAUCCUAGCAGGUGAUUGGUUUUGGAAUGAUCGCCAUUUAACUUUAGAAUGGUGGUCACCGGCAACUGGUUCAACCUUAACGAACCAUAAUCUCUCUCUUUGAGUUCCCCUCAAGACAGGAGGCAAUGAGAAUCCUAGCAGGUGAUUGGUUUUGGAAUGAUCGCCAUUUAACUUUAGAAUGGUGGUCACCGGCAACUGGUUCAACCUUAACGAACGAUCAGCCACACUGGGUUAAAGCCUUUGGUAUUCCUCUUCAUGCAUGGUGCUCGAGUACUUUCUGCACCAUAGGAGAACUCUAUGGUGGGUUUGUCGAUACAGACCUGGACACCAAGUAUAGAACGCACCUUCUCUGGGCUAGAAUUUGUGUGAAGGAUCCUAUAGGCCAACAACCUGAGAAAGUAAAUAUUGAGGUUGGUGACUGGAAUUAUGAAAUCACUAUUCUGCCAGAUAAGUCGGUAAAGCUCAGUCCAAUCGGGAAAAGUGAUGCCGGCGAAAGCUCCUUGGGCUUAUCGGAGAAGAAGGUAUUGUCGACGAAUGGGGUUGGUACAUCGAGCCAACAAAAAAUGACUCCUACUGCUUCAGGGAGUAGGCAUGUGGGAGAGCAGGUGACUUCUUUUAAUCCAUCGGUUAAAGCCAACUUAAGUUUUAAUCAACUGAGCCAGAAUGUGGAUCAAAGCUACUAUAUGGUCGACCUAAAGCAUAAAGCCCAAGAGCAAAAUACCAAGUCUUAUUGGAAAAGGGUGGACCUAAUUAACACUACCCAUUGCUCCAAUCAAUUCAGUGUAUUAUCAAAGGAGCCCAUAUCCAAAGCGGCAGCUGGCGAUAUAAACUCUAAUAGAAAUAUUAGAGUCCCUCCACCAGCUAACUCUCGUCUCUCUACUAUCUCUGAUGCGGAUGACGAAGCCGACCCAGAGGCAGUGUUUGAGAAAACUACUAAGUGUGGUUCCAACACCAGAGAGGUCUCUCACUAGUCAAUCCGACUCUGACUUCUCUUCUCCUUCUGAUUUUCUAUCUCUCCCAUGGCAUGAGGAAGGGCCGAUUCCUCAAUUUAUAUAAAACCCAGUUGUGGCCGAGACAUCACGAUGGACCAAAAUGGUGAUGGUGAAGGCUAGCAAAGUCUUCGGAGUCAACAUGGCUAGAUUCGAACAUGAGUUUUUGGACAUUAUUCCGGAGGAAAAACGGCAAUUGCAAAUACAACAGAAAAAAUUAUUAAAGAAACCAACAAAGAAGAAAAAGUCAAAGGAGACAGAACUAGAGAAGCUAAAACUUUUGGUGAAUUAUGAGGGUGGAGAAAGUUCAGAAAGAGGGAGCACUAGUAUUGAAAGGGGCAGGAUUCACAAACUCCAUUCAAAAUGAAAUUACGAAUUCUGAGUUAGAAUGUACGGGAGCUCAAUGAAAGGGAAAAUAGGGGAACUUUGAAGUCUUUAAUUCAAAGUUGGAGAGCUGAUAUUGUAUGUAUUCAGGAGACCAAUGAAUGGCCAGAUUGUCUUUCAUAACAUUUGAUGGGGUCUAGAUGGGCAGAGAUGCAAGCCAUUGACAACAAGGGUGGGGUGGUAAAUUUAUGGGGUAAAAGGAAUUGGAAUUGCAUAGACAUUCAUCAGGGAUCCUAUACAACUUCUAAUAUGUUAGAAAGUGCCCAUGAAAACUUCAGGUAGUGUUUUACAGGGAUCUAUGGCCCACACACAAACCCUGAAAGAAGGUAUUUUGGGAUGAACUUGCAGCAAUCCGAGGGUUAUGGAAUAAUCAUUGGGCGAUUGGGGGUGAUUUUAAUGUAUGCAGAUACGAGCAUGAAAGGCUCAAUUGCAAUAAACGAUCAAAGGCAAUGAAAAACUUCUUUGAUACAAUUAAAGAUCUUUGCCUUAUUGAUUUGCCUCUUCAUGGUGCUACUUAUACUUGGACCAAGGGUGAGAACAUACAUCAGGCUUCUAGAAUUGACAGGUUCCUCAUAGCUAAUGACUUGAGUGACACCUUCAAGAAGGUAACUCAGAUGGUGCUCCCUAAUGUUAUUUCAGAUCAUAAGCCUAUAAUCCUGGAAAGUGGAGACUGGAAGGUUAACCCCUCAUACUUUAAAUUUGAGAACAUGUGGUUACAAACCGAGAUAUUGCAAUGCAUCAUUCAUCGCUCUAAUUCCAAAGAAGAAAGGGGCUAUGGAACUCGGAGAUUUUAGACCAAUAAGUCAAAUAGGAAGUGUGUAUAAAAUAGUUGCAAAGCUGUUUGCUGAAAGAUUGAAAAAAGUCAUUUGGAAACUUAUUUCUGGGAAGAAAAAUGCUUUCAUUAAAGGAAGGCAGAUUACAGAUGCAUCUCUAGUUGCUAAUGAGAUUUUGGAUUGGAAACUUAAAUCAGGGGAAGCAGUUCUCUUAUGCAAACUGGAUAUAGAGAAAGCUUUUGACCAGCUAAACUGGAAUUUUCUCUUUAUGAUGCUGAGGAAAAUGGGUUCUGGAAACAAAUGGAUUAAAAGGAUAAGUUAUGCACUACCAUAAUUCAAGCUCAACCGGCUUCUUCUCUCCUCAAAAGGGUCUUAGGCAGGGGAUCCUCUCUCACCUUUUCUCUUCAUCAUUGGCAUGAAAGGUCUCAGUAACAUGCUAAAUAAAGCCAAGAAUUUACAAUGAUUCAAAGGCUUUGAAGUUGGUAGCAGGUCCGGGAAUAGAGUGAUUGUCUCACAUCUGCUAUAUGCAGAUGACACCCUAAUUUUCUGUGGGGCUGAAGAAUCUCAAGUGCUGCAUUUAAAUCUGGCCUUGCUUAUUUUUGAAGCUCUUUCAGGUUUACACAUUAAUAUGAUAAGAGUGUCUUUUGUCAUGUCAAUGAUGUUUUUAAUCUGGAGGGCCUGGCUUACAUUCUAUGUUGUAGUACUGGCACACUACCAACUACAUAUCUGGAGCUUCCACUAGGAGCAAAGUUCAAGUCAUCUAAUAUAUGGAGUGGAGUCACUGAAAAAAUUGAAAGAAGACCAGCUAACUGGCAAAUGCAAUACCUUUCCAUGGGAGGGAGACACACACUCAUCAACAUCUUGGAUAACCUUCCCACCUAUCUUAUGUCUCUAUUUCCCAUCCUAAGAAAGGUGCUGAAGCACAUAGACAAAUACAGGAGGAAUUUUCUAUGGGAAGGAUAAGGAAGCAGCAAACUCAUAAAUUCCACUAGGUUAAUUGGAAAAAAGUAACACUACCAAAGUGACAAGGUGGCCUAGGAAUUAGAGAUCUCACAGUCCAUAAAAAGAGCAUGCUUAUGAAAUGGCUGUGGAGAUAUUCACAAGAGGAUCAAGCCCUUUGGAAGGAGGUGGUAACUGCAAAACAUGGCAAUAAAAAUCACUGGAGUACCAAGGUUGGUAGAUCACCAUAUGGAGUAGGACCUUGGAAGUAUAUCAACAAGCUAGGGGAAGAGUUUUAUCACCAAUGCAAAUUUAAGGUAGGCAAUGGAGCAAAAAUAAGGUUCUGGGAAGAUAAAUGGCUGGGGGACUCAACAUUGCAAGCUGAUUUUCUGAACCUUUAUUCAAUAUCCACAAGAAAACAGUCAACUAUUUCACAAAACAGAGUUGAUUAUUCCUGGAACCCUUUAUUCAGGAGGAACAUACAAGAUUGGGAGCUGCAAGAUCUUCUCAACCUACUGGAAAGACUAGGGACAGUCUUAAUUAAUGAUCAGGCAUCAGACAGACUCAUUUGGGGGAAUAAAGCCGAUGGUAAGUACUCUGUGAAGGCAGGCUACUACACGCAAUUUACUCAAAAUGAAAUGUUAAUCAAUUGGCCAUGGAAAUUAAUUUGGAAAACUAAGCUACCUCCAAAGGUGAUUUGCUUUAGUUGGAUAGCCCUCUAUGAAGCCUUGCUCACUCAAGUCAAUCUUAGCAGAAGAAGCAUCCCCACAGUCAACAGAUGCUACAUGUGUCAACAUGCCUUAGAGACCAAUAGACAUCUUUUUUUACAUUGUACAGCUGUUGCAGAUGUAUGGAACAUGCUCAUCUCAGCUUUUGGUCUUGACUGGGUUAUUCCUGAGAGUGUUAAAGAUGUCCUGGUUAGCUGGAGCUCAUGGAAGGUUGGGAAAUCCAUCAGGAAAGUUUGGAAGAUGAUCCCUGCACCCUGCUUGUAUUUUCUGGUGUGUCUGGACAGAAAGAAACACCAGAUGCUUUGAAGGAAUUACUACUCCAAAUUACGUUCUUAAGGCUAGAUGUUUAACAAGUUUUUGUAGUUGGAGUAAUCUCUCCCCUGUCAAUUCCCCUGAAUCUUUUUUGGACUUUGUUAGCUCCUUAACUUUAGAUUAGACCUUUUGUAAUAGAGCUAACAUUGUCUUCUAUUUUUCUCUAUUCCUUUGCUCUGUAAAUUCUGAAUUCUGCAUCUUCUUGAUGCCUUCUAUGAAAUACAUUAACUGAUCAAAAAAAAAGAAAAAACAUUACUUGUUAUCUCACACUGCAACUGUUUCAUGUGGUUAAAAUAUCCUAUAAUCCCAAAAGCAAAACCCUCGUCUACCUACCUGCAUCCACUAAACAAAGUCAGGCUACUCAAAUGCCAAAUAGAACUAUUACUUUCUUCGAACAUCAGGCUAAAAAUUUAUUUGACAAGCAUAAAAGAUAAGGAUCAGAAUACGAAAAUGCAGGACAAGAACCAAACAGCAUUUUCCGAUAAAUCCCUGGAUAAACCAUAAAACUCAAACCAGAAAAACAGUAGCUAAUGUUUCAUUUUCGAGCCAGUGCUCUCAAAUGUAUUAUUUUCCAGUUCCUUUCAGCAUUUAAAAAGCAGCAAGCACUCUAUAGCUAUCCCUAAGAGUGCUUAGAAAUUCAAUAUGACAAUUGGACCAAAUCAAAGGCUUACGAUAACGUCUUCAGGACUUUCCAUGUUUUACUGUCAUCUGAAGAAUGAAGCUUCCAGAUGAUGAGCUCACCACCUACAUCAGUAGUAGUACUCUUAAAAUACAAAGAGACAUAAAUAAAAAGUGGAAAAGAAGAAAAUGCAGCAGAGGAAAGUUAAAUCAUUUGAUCUUAGGCUAAAUGGAGAGAUUUAUAGGACAAGUCUAUACCAUCUGCACCAGAGGCCAAAUGCUCUCCUGCAUAUUACAGAAAAUGGUAUUCAGUUUUUUGACUAACUAGAUAGUACAAGUAUAUUAUCUAACAGAUUAAUAAAUCAGACAGAGGCAUGCAUCAAAAGGUCAGUUAUAGUAAAAACUUAUGGUAACUACAAAAGUUGCUAAAAUGAAGUACCCACAGUCACACAGUUAGCAGAAACUUUAACUUUUUCAACAAAAUGAUCAAUCCAGAGAGGCAAGAUAGGCUUGUAAUAUGAAUUGACUUUGAAGUAAGUCAAAUAAAACUACAUUUGUUUCAUUCGUAGCAAGAGCAACCUUCUCUCUCUACACAGUCCAAGGUAAUUGAUGAUUUCGUGAACCUCAUCACAACUCAGUAUCCAACACGUCUGACUGCAAAAGAAGUUCCACACUCCACUCUGUAUUUCCAGUUCUCAAAUUAACGAGAUCUCAACUGGAUAUCCAGCAAAAAGAUUCUCACUACAGGAAUUUCUGAAUUUAUAGCAAAAAUUCCAGAAAAAUCAUCUAAUAAUAUCUAAUAGCUGAUAAUCUAACUUUCUAGUAUUAAUCUUCUAAGCACCACAGAGGUCACCUGGAUAAAAAUACAUUUUGCAGAAAUUAGUUCAAGAAUCUGGCUAACAAGCCAUCAGCUUGCUGAAAUUAAAGGAGAUGAAAACCUACAAGACUAAUUCAACGAUAGCAAUAUUUGAAAAAAAAAAAAGCUAAAAGAAAAAAGAAAGAACCAAGUUCACAGCCCAGUGCAGCUUAAGUAGAGUCAGCAGAUAACUAUAUCAAAUGCCGACCCUCUAGAAAACCAAUAUUACAUUUUGCCUCACUAAAGUAUACAGAAACAUAGAGAAGAAAGUCAGUCAUUCAAACACCAACAUACACAUAAAUUGCAUGAAACAACCUACAGCUUCAGAGGAAACUCCAACAACCCACAGAAGAUAACCAUGUAUGAAUUCUUGCCUCGUAAUAAUGCUUUAAUCAAUGUAAAAUUCAAAAAUAGAUACCACAACCUUUUAACAAAGCCAAUUACCUGAAGGAGAGAACCGAAGUGCAUUAACAGCAGAACUAUGGUAAGAAAGGCUAGUCUGGUAUGAAACUGAAGGCGCUUUCUUCUCAUUUUCCCCAGAAUCAAUCACCCACAUCUGUUGAAAAUUUUAUGAACCCAAUGAUGUCAUAUUCCAUUCCACAUAAAAAUGGUAUCAAUAAAGUAAAUAUGUUAGUGCUUUAUAUAUCAGCUAAUUAGAAACUAGUGGUUAAUACAUCAACAUGGUACAAGAAAUGUGUCCUUAAUACUCCUUGUGGUAUGAUUGAAGGUGCUAAUUGUGCCUUUAGGAAUUAAGGAACGUGGAAUGCAGUAUUGAUUUUUUGUGCUCAACACAAGCACAUUAGGAAACCAGGGGAUCAAAAUUAUGCUUCACUGGUGGACUUUCUUGACCAAGCUGGGUAACUACAAGAGGCAGUGAAAGUCGUUGAAUAAUGCCAAUGCAACAAAUUCAAUUAGCUUUGAAUUGAAGAAAAUAAAUUUUCAGCUUAUGUGGGUGAAAAGGCUUAUUAGUUAGGAUCUGUUAGCCCAGGCGUAGUGCGACUGCUUAUAAAUAUCACGAAGCUACCAAACCUAGGAAAAUGCUUACACACCAACAUGUUGAGGUAAAGAUAUUUCACAACUAAUACCAGACAGAGGAGAAGCCAGAUGUAGCAACCUCUGUGAGCAUUCAUCUGCUGUAACAACAGAAAGAUAGCUGGAGGCCUAUUCAUUCAGGAAGAGUGAAAUUUUUAUUCUUAUAGUUGUUGGAAAUUCGCACUAGCAUAACUGAUGGAAUUGUCACUCCUGUUACAUCAUUUCUUUCAACUUUUAGUAGCAUAAAGGUGGACCAACCUAAGAUAAGCACGGUGAAAAUAGUAAGGUCUGUUGCUGUCAUUCUUUUAGUUGGAUUAUUUUGUCUGCAUUGGACAAUAAACAGAUUUGGUUGGACGUUUGCAUUAGUUGUGAUGUUCCUUUUAAUAGGAGUUAUCCUGCAGCUGCAAAUAAAAAAGUCGUUAAAAGGAGCAUAUCCACACUGCGGUUAUUCAAUUAAGGCUGUGUUUUUAUUUAUGGUCUGUUGCUCCUCCUCUCAAUGGUUAUGAAUUAGUCAACAAAGUAAAGAGUUUUUCGAGCCAGUGCAAGGGAUCAUAAACUCCCUGAAGAGAAACAUUGUAGUUGCUUGGUUAACUGGAUGAGUACAUCUGGGCAGUUAGAUAUUACUCUAAAAUUCAUGAACAAGUUUUCUAAUUAGACUAAUGUGGGCAUUCAUCGAAAUGAUACUCAAUUGGUAAGAAUAUCACAUGCUAGGAAUAUUGCAUCAAAUGCCUAUCCCCAACUCUUGCAUGAUGCUGCAAAGAAGACGAUACCCUUGCUGACCUUUCAGAGCCAAUUUUUGCACUUUCAUUUUUCGAUAUUGUCUUUUUAACAUGGAUCAUUCUACACGACAUUAGAGAUGUGACGCACCAGAAGUAACUGACCAUGAUUAAUGAUGCAUGGCCUUGCCGCCUUGGAGAUGGUGUUUACUGUAUUUUCAUUUCCUUUGAACUUUAAAGGUUGUUGUAGCUCGAAUUUUACAAUAUCAUAAAUAUACUUUGACGGAUUGAGAAAAUCAAGAUAGAAACUGUAAACUAGUGAAUGAAAAUGCAAAAGAGAAUUCCGAUAUCUCAGAGGAACCAACUAAAAUAAUUACUAAAAGCAAAAUUCACCAUGCAAGAAAAAUCAAAGCAGAGACAAAAUUUAGAAGUACCAGAGGGAAAUGAAGAAGGGUAAAAUAGUAAUUUUAACCUUGAUGUCAUAGUCGGCGCCACCAGUAGCAAGAACGCCGGAGAGGUGGUGAAAAUCGAGGCACAAAACGGGCUUCGUGUCGUGCCAAUUGAUCUGAACUGUACCUCCCUUCAUUCUUUAUCUUCCUUCCCUGAUCUUUUUUCCACUCUUUUAUUUGAAUUUAUUGUUUUUUGGGAUUGAAGAAGGAGGUAGGGUUUAGAACUUAGAAGAGCAGCUGGACGGUGAGUGAUUUUGUGGGAUAACUUUGAGAUUUGGCGGGAAAUUGAGGGCGCCUUAAUUUCCCUUUUUUCUUUUCUAUUUUUAAUAAUUUUUCUCUCUCUUCUCUUUUUCUUAUUUCUAUCUGUUUGGUGGAUUGAUCCGAGCAGGUUUAUUUACAAAUCCCCUACUUUGGACUUGAAUCAUGAUAUAUAAAUUUAUUCUCAAAAUAUGGAUAAGGUUUGCGUGGUCCCACUUCGUACUUCAUUUAUUCCGUACUCAACUUUGAAUCCAAGUUUUUGUAUCUGGUAAGACGGAGUACAAUAAUCCCACUACGCACUUCAUUAACUCCAUACUCACAACUUUAAAUCCAAGUUUUUGUAACCCGUAAGACAAAAGUACAAGAAAAUAUCGUUUAAGAAUUACCACGGGUGACUUCAGAAAAUGUUAUACUAAAAUAGGAAUGCUGCAAUUGCAUUUCUUUACUUUCUGUUUUUGUUUUUCUAAAUAUAGUAGUAGUCUAGUAUUUAGUACUAAGAAAACCACAUAAUUAGUAUGAAACAAAAAUGCAUUUUCUCGUAUCUUAUACCCCACCAGUCUGCCUGCUUUAAUCUUAAGUGGGUUAAAUUUCAGUUUCCCAUCUUUGGAAAUAUCAUAAAACAAGUUUAAAGUGAUAUCCUCAACGUUGAAAAAAAAUCCCCUUGACAGAGAGAGCAGUAACGCUUGCCAUGAUUGGUUUGCAGGUGAGAAAUAUGAUCAAACUGCUGAGCAAACGUCUAUUUUAUAACUUCGAAUAAAACUCCUACAUGUAUGGACGACAUGAACCAUUUUUACAUGUUCAGCAAUACAUGAAGCAAUCCUCAAACUCAAUCUACUACUUCUACGAACGUUCUCCAAAUCGUUUCGUCAAACAUUAUGAACAGAAAACAGAAUGGAAUAGAUGGAGGUAAGGAAUAAAAACAUAAAAGGAAGGGGAAAAAAAACAGAAGAAACCCGAGAAAAGAGCAUUCCCAUAUCAUGAAGCUUAAAACCAAUCAAGGGAAUGAGAAACAUAAGAUGGAGGCAAACUAAAGAAUACACAACUCUAACCGCGCCUACAAAAUAUUUGGGAGCUGAGCAUCCAAUCUUUGUUGCAGCUCCUUGACCUUGAUUGAUAACUCAGCAGUUUGCUCCUUGUAGCUCCUGAUCAGAUAAUCCUUCCCUUCAAUCACUUCUUUUAACUCAUCUUUUUCGCGCUUCAGCAUUUCGAACCUUUCCCCAUCUCCUCUUCCCUUAUCUGAGGUAUCCGAAUUUCUAUCAAUUUCCAGGUGACCAUUUGUGUGACCGUUCAUAUGACCAUAUCGGACUUCAGCUGGCCAUACAGGUACUGUUGGGGACUUAUCGCAAGAACCCACUUGUCCAACGCAAUGAUCUGCAAUUGCCUUCCUCAACCUCUGUAUCUCUCUCUCUNNNNNNNNNNNNNNNNNNNNNNNNNNNNNNNNNNNNNNNNNNNNNNNNNNNNNNNNNNNNNNNNCAAGACGGUCAGGAGAGCUUGACCACGGCCCACCAUUCUCUUUAUUGAAUUCGAGGGCAGGAACAGUCACAAGAGGGAGCACCAUUUCAGGCUCAGACCCAUUAAAUUGCUGCUGCUUUAUAACCCCCAAUCCUCCAGCUCCUGUCUUGUAAAAAUAGCAAAUGUUCAUUAACUGCACUAGUUAUUUGGUAAAUCUCCUGUUUUUGUAGAAAACUCAGCAUAGAAGAUAAAAACUGAUCCUAAGUGGUAGCUAGCGCAACAUGUAUACCAAGAAAAGCAUCAUAUUGAUCACAUGAAUUCUCCUUCAUUAUGUUUCAAUCUUUCACUUGACAUCACCAUAACCCUCUUAAAGCAAGUAAGAUAACUGUAAAUAAGUCUAAUUUGUCAAGAAGACCGUGUCUAAUUUUUCAAGUUAGAAGGCAACCACAAAAUCAACAUUAACAUGCAUAAGUUGUUUACAAAUGAUAGUUUCGAUGCAUACAACUAUAAUUAACUUUACUAGUUCAAAUUAUUUUCUCACAAAAUCGGGAGUUUAAAAACUGAACAGGAUCAUUGGAAGAAGAUGAUGCCAAUAUCAAAUCACUAGCCAUGUUUUUUACUCCAAAAAGAACAACGUAAAUUCUAAAAACUCCAAAAGGAUGGCAAGAGUUUACGUACCUGUAUUGCAAUUGUAGCAGCCAUCAUCAUCUUGGGCAAAAUAAUAAGUACUUGACUGCAAAUGACCAUUUCCUAACUUCCUUCCUUCAGGAGAUUUUUCGUUUCCUGCAUUUUAAGCCGCUUCUCAUAUCUAAGAGGGCAGAAUAAUUUCACAAGACAAACCAAAAUGCUUUAAACAAUAUUGGACCUUUUAAACUGCUGGUGGUCUUGUUCUGUUGUCUCGAGUCAAGCACCUGCUUCAGCUUGUAGCCUAAGCGAACAGAUAAUGUACUUAAUAAUGCACUGCCUGCAAUUAUGACCCAGUUUGGCCCCUCACUCUGAACACCUUUGGACCUCUGGGACCUUGGCCCCACAUUGGUUCUUGGUUUCAUUUUCGGAAUCACUGAAAUGGAAGAUGGAGAAGCUGCAGACCAUCAAAGUAAGCCUAUAUAUGAAAUGCAGUAUAACGUCAAUUUAUGCCACGAGAAGCACAGUUUUCUGAUCACUCAAAUCAAGUGCAUAUAGGCUAAUUGAAAAGUAUUAACAAUAUAUAACCACAAGAAUUUUGCAGGUAAACAAGUCUAACACAGAUAUUUGAUAGGGAAAAAUAUCCAGAAAAUCCAAAGGUAAGCUGUCAAGAUAAAGUCGCCUGGUAUCUGUUGAACUCUGAUUAUCGCCAACAUGAGGGGAUUUCCAGAGUCAUGUUUAUUUAUAAUAUUGCAAACACUUUAGUUAUUAAAAGGCAGAAAAGCAAAGUCUACAAUGGCAAAACUAUGUGGAGCUCGAUCAGACUUUGAGCGAAGGGUAGGGCUUUUUCCCUUUGAUAAAGAACAAGUUAUUUGAAGGAGGAAGCAAUUUUCUAUAAAACGUAUAAGUCGACAUAUAAAAUUAAAUUGUUCUUGCUAGUGUGGUUCACAUUUGCACUUUAUUUCCUUUUUUUCUAAAAGAUACCAGAAGAAUAAGUACCAGAGUGUAGAACAAGCAACAAGAUUCCCAGAAGAAUAAGUGCCGGAGUGUAGAACAAGCAACAAAUUCCCAGUUCCCAAAAGGAAAGGUAACUGCAAUCAUGCAAUUCUAAUAGCAUAAAUACCUUCACAUCAAGUGCUGGUGCCACACUUUCAUGAAUCUGACUAUAGUAGACGGUACAAUGACAGUAGGACCUCAGGAAAUAUUCUGAAAGAAAAUGCAACGAAAAUCACAGCACUUAUUAUCCAGAAGAAACAGAAUAAUAAGGAAAGAAGUAGUUAACUAGAGUACAAACAGAAUUAGCUCCUGUAAACAUCCACUGACAUUGCAAUUACAGUAACCUGUUGCAUGCUUGCUCGUGUAAAUAAGUUGUAUGUGUGGAACACGCUGCUCAAUAUUUAGCACUCAGAAUCUUAAAAUCUUACAUUCACUUGGUUCAUUGAAAAUUGGUAUACAGCAUGAAUCAAUAGUUCACGUUGGGGUCAUUUGGUACGCGGGAUAAGGUGUGGGAUUAAAUUAUACCAUGUUCGGUUGACGGUGGAUAAAUUUAUACCGUCAACCGAACAUGGUAUAAAUUUAAUCCCAGUAUUAAUACAAGAUAUCUCACCUUAUCCCACGGUAUCCCAUCAAACUUGGGAUUAUAUUAUCCCACCCCCAGGUGGGAUAAAUUAGUCCCGGGAUUAUAAUCACAGGAUUAUAAUUCCGGGAUAAUUUUGUCCGCGUACCAAACGACCCCUAAAGGCUCGUUUGGUACGAGGGAUAAGGGAUAAUUAGUCCCUGGAUUAAAUUUGAGAUGAGUUUAUUCCCGCGUUUGGUUGGGAUAAAAUCGCGGUAUAACUAAUCCCGGGAUUGUAGUGUUAUUUUUUAUCCCUAUGGGAGGGUGUGAUAACAAUCCCGGGAUAAUUAAUCUUGGGAUAACUUGUUUCCCAACCAAACGACCCCUAAAAGUUUCUAUGGGUAAAGCAAAGAAGGCAGAAAACAAGAACUAAAGAGAAGGUUGAUGUGUUGUAGAAGAGUAGAAGCUGUAGGCCACUUCCAACCUCUUGGUGGUGGAUUGGGAUGUCCAUCAUUAAUUGAACAUUUUGAAAAAUAAGUAACACAGGAAAGGAAUUCAAUUCAAGAAAAUAAUUUUUUAAGGCGGGAGAAGUAAGCUGGUUAUGGAGAAAGCCACCCAAGGAAAAAGGGCGACUAUUAUUCAUCAAAAAAAAAUCCGAAGAGAAGAGAGAAAGAUUUAUUUAAAAUCAGCAGAGGAGGUGUAAAAUUCCAUGGUGUCUUUCUUCCCCUGGGAACGUUGAAGGCACACUUUCACUCUCCUGUUUACCCAGUGAACUGACAGAAAGAGUCCUAGUUCUAAUGUCAUUAUUGCACCCGAUGAAGUAAAAUCUCAGACUUGGAUCCUUUCACUUAAAAUGGCUAAUUAAUACUAAGACAAUUGUAAUGGACAAGAACUAAAUAUUUUGUUUUAAGGCAGAGUAAUAUUCCAACCUUGAAUAACACAGCAAUGUAUAAGUCACACAAUAUACAUACACUCACAGACAAUAUAGGAUAGAAGAUCUGAAGUGAAAAUGUGAAAUGGACAACAUAAUUCCCGAGUCACCUUUUCCAUGUAAAAGAAGCAGUAAGUCUAUCAGAGCCAUCAAAUGAAUGUAAAGACUAGAAGAUUAUAGCAGAUUCAGAAUGGCACCGAUAUAAGGAAAUUGUCAAUGUAUCAAAGUCUUCUUUGGUCAGAUGAGGAAAGCUAAGAUCUUAAUGAGGCAAAUUCGUAAAGGUGACAAGAAAAAGAGUGAAAGAAAUGCCAGCUUUUCUGCAUGAGGGCACGGCAAAUGAUAAGUUUGACAUCAUUUACGUUUGAAUUUGAUGACUAACCUAACCCUGUAAUGCAAUUAUCCAUUUACUUGUCCUCCAUCACAUGAUAGCCUGCUAACUCAUACUCUUAAACAUGAUCCAGAACUGCCAGAAAACCAGAUAAAUGCACAACAAGCAGUUUUCAACAGCCCAUGGCUGAGCGUUAAAAGUAUUAAGGUAGCCACUAAAAAGAUAACUUAGAAGUUGCUUUCUAGCCUAAUGAGGACCAGGUUAAAUACUGGAUGAUGGUUUGACAUACAAAAGUUUUAACAAGCAACACGCUAAACACCAAAAACAAGCACCAUUUUCACAUGGCUGAAUAUCGAUUCCUGCUUGUGAGAUAAAUUGUAACUCUUUCAAAUAAAAUAGAAGUCAACCUCGAAUAUAUAAGACGUAAAGUAUGACAUCCGCCAGCAUGUUACCAGCAUACGCUGCCUAUUAUAACUAAUUGAAAUUGACAUAUGCCCUUCACUUGAGGCAGCAAAUAAGACAUUAGACAUGCAUGACCAUCUCUUUUGAAUUUCCUCCUUCCAAAUAAUUUUGACCUCAUUGGUCAUGUAGGAUAUCAAAUGGCUCAUUGAGGUAUAGGUGCAUUCAGAAUCACAAUUCAAUUAUCCACCAACUCUAGCUAUCUUUGACUUCCCAUAAUACAACAAAACGAAACCCGCAGAACUUCUAUUUUCACAAAAACAGAUCUGUCAUACAAACCCACAGAUUCAAUCACCAAAAAUGGCCAGAACGGCGUAAACAGCUAAUAGGUGGAGACAGGGAUAAAUACAAUUUCUCCCUUGUUACGUUCCCUUGUUUUUACUUACAUGAUCAAACACAAAAAUAUGCAUUGAAAUGAAUAAACGCCAGUACAAAGACACAACAUCAACAAUAACUGCUGCGCUCAGCCCCAAACAAAUUCGGGGCAGCUAUAUUACUCCAUUUAAAUUCAUCUCAUUAUGCAAAUACAAAUAAAAGUAUUAGAAGAAAAUUUCUCGUUAAGCUAAUCUAGACUGCUAAAUGCACAUAAAACACACAAGCACACAAAAAAAAACAUCUAUUUUGCACACACUUAACAGGUCAUAGCAAAUUUAAGAUGAAACUAUCCAUAGAAAAUUAGAAAUGCAAGACCCAAGUAUCAAAAAAACACAACAAACAAAGAAAAGACAAAAAAUACAAAACCCAAAUGCCACCAAACACACAAAGACACAAACCGACACAAACCCACUAAUUUCUACACAUUACAGAGACCAUAGCCAAUGUAAGAUGAAAUUCCCCAAAAUGAAAAGGGCAUAUCAAAUAGUACCUGAUUAAUGUGGAAGAUGCAUCUAUUUGACCAAGAACUGAUAAAUAAAAGAAGUUUCUGGCGUAGGGUUUUGUGGAAUUAACAAACACUAAUAUUACUGAACCUUCUAAUACAGGCGAGACUGGCUUAGGUGAGUGGGGGCGUGGCCAAAAAGAACCAGCUAAAGCAAAAGCGGGAUUUUGCCCCUUUGGUUAUGGGAGGGGUGGGGUGGGGAUUUUGCCUGUGGAUCAAAAUUCAAGAAUUGGUGGAAUUUUCGGGGGAAAAGUACAAAAUAUUUUGCACGUCGUACAAGUAUCGGAUUCCACGUUGUCGUCUGACUAUGAAAAUAUGUGGACUACGAAAUCUGGGGCCGUUAGAACGGAACUAACGGACUCAGCGUUAGUGAUGCUUAUCUGUUUUCCUAAAAUUAUGAUAAAGCAAUAUUUUUACAUUUUUUUCCUUUUAUAUUUAUAAUAAAUCAAGACCAUCAAAGUAUGUGAUGGUAAUUGGGACGGAUAAGAUCAAUCUACCACUAUCCAAAAAUAUAUUCGAGCUUAAAAGUAAAAAAACUAUGUCUAGGAAUGGAGAAAUUUCAGUAACGUUUUCCUUAAACAAAUCUCACAUCCUAUACCAUACUCGCCACGAAUAUAAAUUAAUCGAUCAAAAAGUUUCGUAUAACUGAUUGUUAUAAAAAAAGAAGAAUUUUAUUUAGUUGAAAUUUUAUAAAUCAAAUCAAAAAAGUGAAAUACUUUUAAAACUGUAUGCAAAGUAACAAAGAAACAAUGGGGCUACAAUACAAUAUGAAAAAGGAGUGGAGUGUAUUGAGAGACCAAUUUAAGCUUUCAUUGAUAAUGAAAAUCUGGGGACAAUUUGAAAUUAACAUUACAAAACCCAAUGAAUAGGAAGUUGAUAUAACAUGUUAGCCUUUUAUUAACAAGCUAAAACAGCACAGAAUAAUAAUACUUUAUGUUGUACAGUAGAUUUUAAUAGCACAUUAAAUGAGAGGCGUUAGAAACUAUGUGCAUCUUGAAAAAGUGCUGCUCUUUUUUGCUCCCAUAAGUAGAUUCAAAACCUUUGAGAAAUAUGAAAUUGGAUAGUUCAAAAUUUUAAACUAAAACUUUACAUAUUUAGAAGCUUUACGAAAUUGUUCUCUCGUAAUUUUAAGUUCGACAUAGAUAAAAAAAAAAAACGAACGAGCAAUAGUUUGAUGAGUUAAGUACUAGUACACUUUAAAAAGAUGUCUCAAUGCAAUAACAAAUGAAAGAAAUAAAAAAGGAAAAGGAAGUAAAAAGAAAAGAAAAGAAAAACAACAACAACAACAUACCCAGUAUUAUCCCACAUCGUGAGGUCUGAAGAGGGUAGUGUGUACGCAGACCUUACCCCUACCUUAUGAGGAUACAAAGGUUGUUUCCAAUAGAUUCUCAGCUCAGGAAAACAUAAGCUAAAGAAAAGAAAAAGUAAAGUAAAAUUACUUCUUUUUUUUUUGUACAGAAGCAAGAAAAUGGUAGAAUUGAAGAAAAAGAAGAAAGAGCAAAGGCUUGGGGAAGUACAUAAACAACUACUCUUAAGGUUGCUAUUAAGGAAUUAGCUAGUACUAAUUUUGUCCUGAAAAUUUGAAUUAAAAUCAACAAUCCAAGAUAUUUUUGUCUCGAAAAAUUAAAUUAAAAAUCUAAAAUUCAGGGCAUUAUGACUAAUUUCUAAAUAGAUGUCGUUUAGAGUGACCACCGGACGACAUUUCUACCAAAAGAUUUCGUUGCUUCUCUAGCUUCCUUAAAAAGCAUCCUUGUAAAAGUUUCAACUUUCAACUAGAAAGAAUAAAUGAAGUACCAAAGAGGACAUGCUAUACACAAUUUGCUGAUUUUAGAAGCUGUUAUUGGUCCCAACAAAAAGCCCCACUACACAUAACUCGUAAUUAUUAUAUUUGUUCUCUUGAUCUGGAACUAAGAAAUUAGACAAAGUAUUGUAGUAUUGUAAAGAAAAAUGAAGAAGAAGAAUUCUUUAUCUUUGGGGCGUGUGGUUGAAGAUAGAGUAAAGUUUUACUUAUCGGCCCAAGAAGGCUCUUCGUCUUCUUUUGAAUGUGGGUUUUUUUUCUUUCUUUUUUUCUUUUAAAUAUAUUUUCCCACUAUAUCAAAAUGGAGUUUCAUUAGUACAAUACAAGGGUAGAGCAUACUCUACAAAAGAUAAGGCAUGGGUGAUUAUACACUAGUUUACCAGUUUCCUAAUAAAAAAGUGUCUAGCUAACAAAAAAGGUGGCAUUGUCAUAUUUGGUUCUAAUGCUUGGCAUCUGUCUUUUAUCCGGAUGAAAAGGCCCCUUAGCUUCCCCGGGCAAUUGUUGGUUAGAGUAGAAGAGAGCAGCCUCUUGAGAUUUUGCAGCCAUUUUUACUAAGCAAUCUGCAAGUUGGUUUGCCUCCCUAUAACAGUGCGAAAUCUGGAUUUCAGAGUUGUUUAAAAUAUGUCCAAUCUUGUAUGUAAUCUGACUAAGCCUAUAUUUAGUUGUAUUCUCUUAACGAAGGAUAUCUACAAUGUAUAGAGAGUUCAGAUAUAGGGUGACUAUCGUAAAGCCAUUUUGAACACACCAGUAGAUACCAAUCCACGAUGUAUAUACUUCUGCUAAAUUGUGAUUCUCGCAUAUGUAGGGGAGUGAAAAAGCCAUAAUAGUGUCACCAUUCUCAUUUCUAAGUGAUCCACCUACUCCUGCCUUUCCUUCAACUUUGAGAUAGCUCCAAUCUGUAUUAAUCUUGACAUUGCCCAUGCAUGGUUUGAUCCAAUUAACCACGAUACAUUUCUGAGCAGGUUGUAAUCUUGUCAAUAUGUCACAGAAGGUGUUCCAAAGCACUUUGAAAUUGCAUUUAGGGUAAUGCCUAUUUGAUUGUUGCCUCCACACUCCCAAGAUAUUUGUUGGUUCAAUCUAUACAUGUUGAACUUUUUUUGAUCUCCAUACCUGCAAGCACAUACUUCCUUCUACAAAAACCAGCAUAUGACAAUAGGAGUAGUAUCAAGCACUAUCAUAUGUACAUCAUUGACAGCUUUAGUAAUACACCAAUUUUUCAAUAUAUAUCUAAUGGGGUGGGGAUGAUAGGUUAUACCAAGAGCAUUUUCAAUUAGAUUCCAAACAUAACUAGCAGCAUGUCCUUCUAUGAAUGCAUGAUGCAUGCUAUCAGUAGUAGAAGUUAGACAACAGUUACAUUUAGAAAUCAUUUGCUUCCCAAACUUGGUAAUCACCUAAUCAAAAGGUAACUUACCUUUCCGCAAUCUCCAAACCAAGAAAGACGUUUUGAAAGGGAUACUAAAAUACCAUACCUUGUUGAUGAAUUGCACUCUAGGACUAAACUUCCUUACCAGAUUCCAAGCACUCUAAUUAGAAUAUUUACCACUAUCAAAAAGAUCUCAGAAUUGAUUGCCAAUAUCUUGAUUGCCGAUGACAAUGGAACUGAUGAGAUGAACUAAGUGAUCUGGAAGGAUGUCCUUCAAUUUGCAAAUGUUUCACUGACCAUUAGUAAUGAACUCCCCAACCAAAGUCCCAGCACUCUUGGGAGUGUUAGGGACCAAGACUGCAAGAGGGCCCUUUAAGUACCAAUUAUCCCACCAAAAGCUACUAGACUCGGAGUUUACCUGCCAAAUCAUAUGUUUCUCUACAAUAUUCCUCACUUUGAUAACAUGACUCUAAGUAUGAGAGUUACCUGGAGCCAUUUUCUUAGAGGCUAAGUGGGCCCUCACACAAUAUUUGUUUUUGAUGUAUGUAGCCCAUAGAGAUAAUGCGGACCUUAUCCUCCACCAUCUUUUCAUGGCUAACGUGUCACUUAUAUCCUCCAAUUUCCUGAUGCCAAUUCCCCCCUCCUCAGUAGGAAGAGCAAGAUUAUUCCAAGAACUCCAAUUGUAUCGUUUAUGAUCAACAGAAUUGCCCCAAAAACAGUUAGCAAAAUGCGUUUCAAUUAAUUUAAAAAUACCUUUUAGGGAGGACAUAACAGACAAAGUAUGAAUAGGAACACAUUGAGGCACACUUUUAAUCAAGACAACCUUACCACCAUAAGAUAGAAACUUACCCUACCAACCAUUGAGCUUUUUAACAAUUUUGCUAACCAUGUUGUUAUAGUAUUUAAUUUUUUUCCUCCACACAUAAAGAAGGCACCCAAGAUAAUCAAGAGGAAAAUUUUUAUCUAUAAAACCAGAGCAAUUCCUAAUUUUAUUGAUUCUGAUAGCAGCAGUAUUAGUGGUUGUUAAGAAGAAACUUUUAUCCCUAUUUACUAAUUGACCAGAACUCCUCUCAUAUUAAGAGAUAGUUUUCAUGACAAGUUUAACAGAGGCAGAAUUAUCACUAUAAAAAAUAACUAUAUCAUCAGGAUAGGCUAAGUGGUUAAUCUUUGGGACAUUAGCAAGCAUGGAUAAGGAGAUGAAUUUAGGAUUCAUAUACAUAGAAUUAAGAGAUAUAGACAUGACUUCAGCUGCUAUAAUGAAUAAAGAAGGGGAAAGAGGAUCCCCUUGUUUGAGCCCUUGAAAGCAGGAAAAAAAAACCUUGCAUUGUACCAUUAACAAUGACAAAAUACUACACAUUAGAAAUAAGUUUGUGAAUCAUAUCAAUCCAAUUAUCAGAGAAAUCAAACUUCCUUAAAACACCAUAGAUGAAUUCCAAGACAUUCUAUUAUACGCUUUAGCCAUAUCAAGUUUAAUCACAACAUUACCACCUUUAUUAUUAUCAGCAAUAUGAUGAAUAAUUUUCUUAGUAAGCAAAACAUUUUCAGAAAUCAACCUAUCCUUAAUAAAUCCACUUUGAUUACGAGAGACUAAUUUGUACAGGAGAGUAUUCAAUCUUAUAGAGAUGAUUUUAGAAAUAAUUUUGCUAGAAAAGUUAGAAAGACUAAUAGGUCUAAAGUCAGAAAAUGUAGCAAGAUUAUCUACUUUAGGAAUUAAAACAAGACAUGUAUGACAGUAGAAUUUAGUCAAACCUUUUCCCCUUAAGAAUUCCAUCACAAAAGCAGUUAACUCCUUAUAGAUGAUGUCCCAUCAAUUUUGAAAAAAUGCACCAUUGAAAUCAUCUGGACCUGCAGUACUAUUUGCACUCAGGUUAAAGAUUGCUUCUUUGAUUUCUUUAUCAUCUGGCAUCCUACCUAGUGAUGUAUUGUCUUCUUCGGUGAUACAAAGUGUGAUACAAUCUAUAAUAGAAAGAUUAAUGACAGGAGGAGCAAGGUUGGAUAUGGAUUGGAAAUGACUGACAGCUUUUCUGGAUACUUUCUGAUCCCCCUUGAUCCAUUUACAAUUAAUAUUUUUGAUUCUGUUUAUCUGAUGUCUUCUCUUUUUUCCCUCCGAAUGGAGUGAAAAUAUUUGGUAUUAUUAUCCCCCUCUUCAAACCACUUGGCCUAUGAUUUUUGUUUGAGCAAAGAGUCUUGCAGACUUAGCCAUCUGAUAUACUUAGCAUGAGCUUUUUGGACAUCCUUUCUACGUUUUUCAUAAUUCUUCUCAAUAUCACUGUCCUCCUGAUAUUGGAGUCUAUCUUCCUAACUAAUGACUGCUCCAUUAAUAUCCCCCUGAUCAUUCCUGGACCAUUGACUCAAUCUCUUACUGAGAGCCUUGAGCUUGGAUUGAAGGAUCCAUAUAGGGUUGGCCAUCACAUUCAUACCCCAAACUUUCUUGACAAUGUCAAAUAAACCUUCGUGGUUCACCCAACAGUUAAGAAAUCUGAAGUAUUUGAUAAAAUGCUAGUUGCCAUUCAGAUUUUUCAUGAGUAGAGGUCUAUGAUCAGAACCAGUUAUAGCUAGGUGUCUAAUAGAGCAUCUUUGAGAAAGUUGAUCUCACAAGUCAUUAACUAAAAAUCUGUCAAGCCUUUUCCAAAUUCGUUUGCUUAGCCUUCUGUUAUUGUACCAAGUAUAGUUAGGACCACUAUACUCAAUAUCGGUAACCCUACAAUUGUUCAUACAAGUUUGAAAUCCAAGCUCAUAUGCAUUAUGUGUCGCUUGCCCCCUAGUUUUUCAUUAGUAUCCAAGAUAACAUUAAAAUCACCCCCAAUGCACCAAGGGAUAUCCACAUUUUGAUUGUCUUGUUCAAGAGCACACCAUAGGUCCUUUCUAGUAUGAGACUUGCAUUUGGCAUAUACUGCAGUAAUGCAGAUGUCUUGAUUACCAAUAACUUUAUACAUCAUGAUAGUAAUAUGUUAUCACUGUCAGUAAUAAUCUCUGUGGAGUUGUAAGCAUUCCAAAAAUAUCAAAUUUAACCGUUGUUGUUGAAACAACAAUGCUGGUACCCAAGGAAUUUUUUGUAGCCAUCAACCUUUUCUGUAACGACCCGGCCGGUCAUUUUGAGUAUCACAACCUUGUUUUCCUAUUUACUGCUCAAAUUGGGUUUUACAGUUGUUGUGUGACUUGCCAGGGCAAUUGCUUCGGGUCCGGUGAGGUUUUGGAAUGAAUUGGAACACUUAGUUCCAAGGUUUAAAGCUUAAGUUAAAAUAGUGACCGGAUGUCGACUUAUAUGUAAACGACCUCAGAAUUUAAUUCUAAUGAUUUCAAUAGCUCAGUAUGGUGAUUUUGGACUUAGGAGCAUGUCCGAAAAAUUAUUUGGAGGUCUGUAGUGGAAUUAGCCUUGAAAUGCCGAAAGUUGAAUUUUUGAAAAGUUUGACCGGGGGGUUGACUUUUUGUUAUCGAGGUCGGAAUCCGAUUCUNNNNNNNNNNNNNNNNNNNNNNNNNGAAAAUCCAUAGGCUUGAAUUGAGGUGCAAUUCAUAGUUUUAGCUUUGUUUGAUGUAAUUCGAGGCUUCGACUAAGUUCGUAUGAUGUUUUAGGACUUGUUGGUAUAUUUGGUUGAGGUCCUGAGUGGCUCGGGUGAGUUUCGGGGUGGUUUCAGAUCAUUUCUAGGCCAUUUUUAGUUGAUGGUUUCUGCCUACAGAGGUGUGCAUCGCGAUCACGAACAUUUGGUCGCGUUCGCGAAGAGCAAACAACAGUUUGGAACCUUGUGAAUCGCGAUCGCGGAAGCUCUUUCGCGAUCGCGUAGAAUAAAAUCUCUGCUACACUGACUUGACUUUGAAAGCUUAUAUCUCGCAAUCUAUAAAGAAUUUGGAGAUGAUCCAAAAAUAAAAGUUGUAGCCCUUGGUGUCUAAUUUUCAGAACUGUAAACCAUUUGUCAUUUGGAGUUGUGUACAAAACGUUAUGAUAGAUAUACUAUAGACUGUCUGGGAAGAGUUUGAAAAAUCUCUAUUGCACAGGGCUGACUUUGGAAGCUUAUAUCUAGAAAUAUAUAAGGAAUUGGGAGAUGAGAAACAAAUGAAAGUUGUAGCCCUUGGUGUCUAGUUUUCAGAAAGUUAAACCAUUUAUAAUUUGGAGUUUUAUAAAAAGUAAUAACCAAUAUACUAUAGGCUGUCUGGAAGAGUUGAGAGAGUUUGUUCUUCGCGAUCGCGAAGAGCAAUUUUGGGGCUGAAAAAUGUUGUGCUUCGCGAUCGCGAAGAGUAAAUGCCUGGACAGAAGAUAUAUUUUGAGGUUUUGUCCAUUUUAACACAUUUGGAGCUAUGGAGCUCGGAUUGAAGCGAUUUUUGAGGCAAUUUUCACAGUAUGGAUUGGGGCAAGUGAUUCUAACUCGUUUUUGGUUAAAUUAUACGAAUCUAUUAUUGUGUUUAUCAACGGAUUAGUAUUUUGGGUUGAAAAUAGUAGAAAAAUUCAUAGACUUUAAUUGAGGAUUUGAAGGCCGAGUUGUGGUCGGAUUUGAGUAAUUUUGGUAUGGUUGGACUCGUCGUUGAAUGAGAGUUUGGAUUUUAUGAGUUUUAUCGGAUUUCGAGACGUGGGCCCCACGGGUAUUUUUGGGGCGUAAUUUUGGAUUUUUGGAAAAUAUUAGUAUUUUGAUAUGGGAUUAAUUUCUAUAAUUUUUGUGAGCUGAAUCAAAUUAGUUGUGACUAGAUUCGAGCCGUUUGGAAGUUGAUACGCGCAGAAUGGAAUUUCUGGAGUAUUUCUUAGCUUGCUCGAUAUUGAAUUUGGCUUGUUCGAGGUAAGUAACUCUUCUAAUCUUGGAGCUGAGAGUAUGAACCCUGAAUAUAUGUAUUAUGUGAAUUGUUGGAAGGUGGCACACAUGCUAGGUGACGGGCGCGUGGGCGUGCACUAUAGAAAUUGUGACAUAAUUGUUUAUGUGAAAUUUUGUAGUUAAAUGAUCUUGGCAUUUUUCAUGCGGUUUUAUGAGUUAAAGAUAUUGAGUUGAAAAGCAUAUUAAAAAUCAUGUUGAGGCUAUGUGCUAGUAUUAUUGAGACCCACAGAGGUCAUAUUGCUGUGAAUUAUUUAUUUUAAAUUGAAAAUCCAUACCCAGUCAUUUCAUUGCAUAUCAUAUCUCAGUCUCUGUUGUUAUUUAUUGAUACAUCAUAUCAUCAUUUUUGGGCUAUUUUCAUGACAUUGUGAGCCCGAGAGACUGGAGAGAUUGAUGACUGAGUGAGGCCGAGGGCCUGAUUGUGAGGAUUAUUAUGUGGAUCAGGGCUGCCCGCCUACAGUAUGCUUUAUAUACUUUAUUAUUAUAGCACAUGAGUUGUCCGUGCAGAUUAUAGCGCUUGGGCUGAAGGAGCCCCUCCAGAGUCUGUACACAUCCCCAGUGAACGCAGAUACCUACUGAGUGCGAGUGUCGAGUGCCAAGUUCUGAGUGACUGGGAGGCAUGAGAGAUGGUGAGGCAUGCCCGAUGGGCUGUUUACGAGUGAUUGUGAGGUAUGCCCGAUGGGCUGUUUACGAGUUAUUGUGAGGUAAUCCCGAGGGGCUGUUUAUGAUUUUAUCACUAAGUUGCAUCGCAUUGGUAUGCACACAUGACAUACAGGCAUAGAGAUGUAUUUUUCUCAUGCUGUACAACAUCACAUCAUUCAUAAUUUCUCACACAUUUUUGACAGAUGGGCAUAGUGAUGCAUUUGUUUUACAUGGGUUAUCUGAAAAAGAAAAUGAAACAUCUCAUUUAUUAUUGAAAAGAUUUUUGGGAGAAAUUAUUAUUUUCAAACUUAUUCAUAUUUUGACAACUUCGGCAAACGAUUUGGGUUAUCACUGAUAUAUUUGAAAGGAACUAUUAUUUUUUUAAAAUCAUGAUUUGGCUGAGCAUUUUAUCUCUGAGUUAUUUCUGGUAUUAUUUGCUUUAUAUUAUUAUGGACUGUUGUGGACUAGUGGUUUUGGAUCCGACCUUGGUAGAAGCUCGUCACUACUUUCAACCUAAGGCUAGGUUGCUACUUACUUAGUACAUGGGGUCGGUUGUACUGAUACUACACUUCUGCACAUUGCGUGCAUAUGUUGGCUGCUGUUGUUGCUGUGCUAGAUGGUUGCGGGAUUUGAAGAUGUACUUGGGUUCCUGUUGUAGCUGCCUCUUGUUCAGGGUAGCAUUAGAUUUAUAAAAGCUCUGUUUAUAUAUUAUUCAAACAGACUAUGUAUUUAUUUCAUUUAUGCUUUGUAUACUCUAUUCUUAGAAGCACAUGAUUUGUACUACCAGUUCUUGGGGAAUGUAUAAGAUUAAGAUCUUUAUUUAAUUAAAUUGCUUUAAUAAUUAUUAUUGGAAUUGGAUAAUUGAAAGUUGGCUUACCUAGCGGGUUGGUUAGGUGCCAUCACGACUAGUUGGAUUUUAGGUCGUGACAUUUUUCUUAGCACAAAAAGGUUCAAAGAUAGCCACAAAUUGAGUAUUGUUUAGGUCGAUCAAUUUCUUCAGCCCAUGAAUGGCUUUUUUGGAUCUAACCCCCCUAAUAUUCCAGAAAAUAGCACUAAAUUAUCAGAACAUCUUGGGGUGAAAUCCUCCUUUUGACUCCUUCUUAGAGAAGGUUGAGUUUUGUUUCUGUGUCUUCUACCACUUUCCCUGGUUUCGCUUCUUCCUCUUUUUGUCAUAUGUUGUUGUUCCUCAUUUUGAUUUUGAGAGUCAGUCUCCUCAUACCUCACCUAAUUUCACUGUGAGUAUGUUCAACCAUUUGAAUAUUGUUACCGUUCUCUUCCACCAGGCUAGUGUUGUCUCUAUUCUCCUUGCUCCAAUACAGAUCCACAACUAGUUGCAAUCCAGGCUGAUUCCUUCUUUCAGUAGGAACAGUCGAGGAGCUUGAGUCACAUCAAUAUUGUUCUUGAUCUUCUUUUCUAUGAUCUUGCCUUCCUGGCAUGUAAUCUCUCGGGAGUUGAGUUGGUCUGGAUGCUGCUUGGUUACAUUAGAAGUCUCUUCAUUGGUUAUGCUAUCUUCAUUAUUGAAUUCAAACCCAUUGCUUUGAUCAAGUUGUUGUUCUCUGCCAUUAUUAACUGGACUAAGAAAACUUUCCUCUAUAACAUGCACAAAAUGUUCAUUCUGCUUGAAAAUAGAGGCAGUUGUUUCUUUUCUUUUGCUACUGCUUUGCACAGGUUUGAAAAUCACUGUGUUUUUCUUUUUUGGCAUCUUUUUAGUCUUCUAUUUCCUGCUCUUCUUCUUGCUAGCCUUCUUAUCAUUGAUGCUAACUGUUUUUGUAUCCUCCCUAAUCUCCUUAUAUUAGUUUUGAUCACUCUCCAAGCUUGGAGAAUUUUGUUUUUCCUUGUCCUUAGUAACAACAUGUAAUCUCAUUAUCCAAUUGUGUUUCCUUCUCUAACUCUGUUCUUUCACUUUCUUCCUUGAGUUGCUCCGGUUUUUUCUUUUUCAGAACCCUGUAAUUGAUCAUAUAAUGGCCUAUCUUUCUACAGUGCUUACAGUAUUUAGGAACCCCCUCGUACUCUAAUUUUUAUGUGUAACCCUUUAGUGGAGAUUCCUCAUAUUCUUGACCAACAAAAACACUAUGUGGCAGAGGUUUGAGCAGAUCUACUUCCACUCGAAUUUUGGCAAUGCUAGAUCUUGUUCUCCUAAUCGUAGCAACAUCUAGGGCUAGAGAAGUACCUACAGAGAUCAAUAGUUGCUUGAUGUAAUGCCAAUCAUGCAUGUGGAAGGGCAAGCCUGGUAGUAGCACCCAAGCCCGUGCAACUAGUAAAUCCUCCUAUGGUUUGAAAUUAGGAUACCAAUUGCACCCACAUCUGCAUUCCAUUGAUUUCAAGAACCCUUCGGAACCAAACUAUUUUCCAAUCCUCCUUAUUAAACAAAUCAAUAAAUACAUUGUGAUUAUCAAAAAUCUCCAAUUCUAACUGAUCCCUUAAGAGAAAUUAUUUCUUUGAAUCAAGACCUAAUUCGGUCAAUUUGGGGGCGAGGUCUUAGAAACCUUCCCACAAUAGUGUACUUACACGAUUCAUCCAUAAUUUCAUAGUAAUCCUAAGCUUUGAAAAUUACGGCAGGCAUACCGUUGUGGGUUGUCUGUCUUGCUAUCAUUUUCUCUUUCUCUUGACGGAAGGUAUUCGGAGAGGAACUUGACAGAGAUGUACUCAUGUUAGCAUAGGAAUUUACCUAGGAAAUUCUCAUUCAUGGUAGUAGUCUCGCCUUUAGGGUGAUUUUGGUCUUCCAAAUGCGCCGGACGGAGGCAUUCCGGCUGCUCAAUGGAGUAGAGUGUGGUCAGGACGCGCAACAGAAAGAUCCGUCAUAGAGACGUUGUAGAGAGAAAUUUUUUAAGCUAUUUUAGUUUAGUAAAUGUGGGUUCAAUUGAUGAUAAUAGUUGUAAUUAUAAACAAACUCAUAACUGAACCAAGAAAAUAUUCUUUAACCAAAUUAGCAAGUAUAACUACUGGUCGUUGGUAAUCCGACUCUCGGAUGGACCUAAUUAUCCUCAAAUUUGGAUGCAGAAAACUAACUUUAGCCGCCCUCUCUUAUGAACAAGUGUGUCUCUCGAUUGCCUCUGUACUAAGCUUAGGACGAGACCUAAUGGACCGACUAAUUAGCUAGCACCCCUUAUCGGUGGAUCGGGCCCAAAAAGUUAUUUUUUUCAACAAAAAACGUAUUACACAUUGAAAUUCAUAUCAUAGCUAGAGGGUAAGUAACACGGUAGAUUUUUGAGUUUUCGACAUUGAUUAUUGGUUGAACCACUAGAAUGAGAUGAAACUACCCUCAAACAGUGGCUGAAGCAGGAUUUUCACUAAUGGAAUUCAAAAAAUAAAACAAAACAAACACGCAAAAAAGCUAAGAGGAUUCAACACCUAAUAUAUAUAUAAAGUAAAAAAAUUUAACCUUAUAUAUACAUUGUAAUUUUGGGUCUCUUCUGUCCCUGAGCUCCGCCCUAGUGGUGGAAGUUCACAAUUCUUCACAUAUUAAAAAUUUGGUCUUUGUCAUAGCCACAAGCUUUUUCGAGAUAAGGUAUUGGGGGAAUUGUAAUCUAUGAAAAGUCCACAAUAAGCAAAGAAUCAUCCUACAUCAGUAAAAGGUUUACUACCCGCUGAUGCUCCCAAAUGGAUAAUGUUUUCACCUAAUCAUUGCAGAGGUUCGUUGUCUAUUCCAGUCAAAUACUUGGGAAUUUGACUAUUGACUAGAAAUCAAAGUCGUUAAUUCAUUUUGAGAUUAAUUUGGUGGUUCAGUUGUAAUUGCAUAUUGUCGAUAGCAAAUGUGAUGAAAAUGCAAUAUGAAGCACACUACAUACUGCAUAGUUCAAUGCUUCAAAAGGUCUCCUAUUUUCAGUCAAAAAUAAUUAUUUAUUGCAUCAUUUAGAAGUUUUACAAAUAUUAGCUAGAUGAACAUUGAUAGUACUGAAAUUUAUCCACUUCAAUAAUAAAAUUUAAAAGUAAUUUCUUAUCACAUUAAAAUAGUUUAUUUAUGUUCUACCGAAUGGUAUCCAUCUUAGGACAAGCGCUUAAUAGUUGCUUGAGUUGGAUGUUGAUACUCAUGAUCUUCAUUCUUCUUAUUUCCUAUUUCAUUACACAUUUUUUAUGGGUUCAAAUUCGCAUUCUAUCACAUUCUAUCUAAUUUAAGAAGUUUAAAAUUUAACAAUAUAUGAUCAAAAGCUAAAGGUUGAGAUGAACCUAUAGCCGCUGUACUGAAUACGUCCCUGAGUCUUUAGACAAAGUCAAUCGUUGUUUUGGGUUUUGCAUAGUUACUAAACUGUAGAAGAUCUUGUUGGGUUUGCCAACCUUCAAAAGAAACUUCUCGUAAUAGGCCAUUUUUAUAGCUUGGGCCAACAGAGGAAGGAAAUGUAGAAUUGACACCAAGUAGCCACUCUAAAGGGUUAUUGUAUAGAAAUUGGUCACUGCAUUUUGAAUAGGGUUGUAAAAUGGUUAAAACAAAAUAGCUAAUCACUUAUAUUAUCCACUAAAAUAUGGGUUGGAUAAUGAAUUUUUUAAAAACGGGUAAAAUAUGGAUAAGAAUCAUAUUAUCCAUUUAGAAAAUGGAUAACCCAUGAGUUUAACUUUUACAUUUGUAAAACUUCAAAUUUGGGGUUUCUCAAGUUUGGGAGACUAGGAAUUCUCCCAAAAGUGAUCAUAUUCAUGAAGCCAUGGAUAAUAUGGUUACCCAUAUUAUCCGUCGGUUAACUUAUUUUUUAUCCGUAUUAAAUAUGGGUCGGGUUGGAUAAUUUAUCCGUUUUUUCAUUACCCGUUUUCGAUCCGUCUCAUAUCCAAUUAGACUCGACCGUUUGCCACCCUUAGUCUUGAAUUUUAGUUUUUCAGUUCAAAUUUUUGAGACAAAAAUAUCCUAAAUUAUCCUGAAAUUUAAAUUUUUAAUUUAAAAUUUCAAAAUAAAAUAAGUACCGACUAAUUUUUAAAUAACAUUCCUGAUAAUAGUUAUUGUACACUUGCCCCAAAGGAAAUGCACAACUUGGGCCUUUCGGUCCAAAUCUCGUGCGCGUGAGUCCAACUCUUCUAUUUCCUUUUUACUAUUUCACUAGUUGGAUGACGAUUUAUUCACUGAAAAAAUGUUAACUUUUAAUCGACGAGAGACUCUUUCCUUUUGAAAUACUCCACUAUUUUCAAAAUGUAUAUGUAUGAUAAAGCAAUUUGUACUAGCAAUAUCUUGCUUAUUUGUUGCAAUGCAUUUCUUUAGGUCAUUUCGAAUGAACUUCUUAUAAUGCAUUUACAAUCACCUUAUUUUGAAAAGUAUUUUUCAAAAAGGUACAUUUGAUAAAAAAAAAAUACUUUUAACCAUCAAUUAGCGUUUGACCAAACUUUUAAAAGUAUUUCUAAGUAUAUUUUUAUCAAAUGUACUCAAAAAAAUACUUUUGGGAAGAAACUAUUUUUCUUACUUCUCAAAAACUAUUGUUGCUUCUACUUAAAAGUAUUUUUUUCCUACUAAAACUUGGGCAAAUACCUUAAUUCUGGAGGAAAAAUACUUUUAGCAAAGUUUACUCUCUCCGGUCCACUUUAAGUAAUUUUUUGGUUUUUUUACACAUAUUAAAGAAUUCAUCUUUUAGCAUUAAUUAACAAUAAAAUUGACCAUAUUAACUUUAAUUUGCUCAUUGAAAAUAUAACAAACUACUUAUAGCUAGACUCUUUACUCCGAUGACAACUUUGAAAAGAAGAAGUUAAUUAAUUUUUAAUAUUUAAAAAAAUCGAAUAUUAUGUGGACAUGAGGGAGUAAAUUUUAAUAUAGUAUGAUUCUCGUUCUUUUUUCUUUUUCCAAGGUUCCAUAUGCGAAAAACAAGUUUUGCCCAACAACAUGGUUGGUGAUGCUCGUUUCCAUGCAAGGACAAAUUAAAGUAGCUGCGUUUUUGAAAGUUGCAUGGUUUAAUGCCUAUUUAGAACAGUCACCAAUGCAUAUUUUGAAAUUACAGGCUCAUCAUUAUACAAUUGCUUGAUAUUUGUGAGUUUUGAUAAGAUAAAAGAUUACUCCCAAUUAUACACAUGCUAUGGGGGCUUCUCAUGAUAACUUGAAGGCUUGAAAAACUAAAAAAGUCAUAUUUUUAACCUUUCGAUAACGUUAAUGUUUGAAUCUAACUUACAAAUUAACCUCAAACAAUAGUGGUAAGACCAGAAUGACCACGUUAUAGUAAAACACUUUUGUCUAAUCGAAUUGAUAACAUGCCAUGAUUUGAUUGGCGUGAUUAAUUCAUAUAUAGGAAAUAGGAUAGCAAUUUUGGGAUUAGUAAUCCCACUAUUAAAAAGGUGUCAAAAAACGUCAAGAAAAAUCUACCGAAAUUGAUCGGAAUCGAACAAAAAACGAUCGAUUUUUGACUGUUUUCAAUUUGCCAAAAAAACAAUGAUCGGUAAUGGGGAGCGACCACAUACGGUCGAUAUUUCCGACCGAAUUCGGUCGGUAAUUGUUGAAAUUAAUUUUUAUUUAUUUUUAAAUUAGCGACCGACUUCGGUCUGAAUUUUAAUUAUUCAUUUUUUUAAAAUUGUUCAAUUCCGAUAGAAAUCGGUCGAUAUUAUUAAAAUAUUUAAAAUCUAAAAUAAAAAAUUUCGAUCGAAGUCGAUCGGUAUUAUUAAAAUAUUUAAUAUUUAAAAUAAAAAAUUCCGACCGAAGUCGGUCGGUAAAUUUAAAUUUCUGGAAAAUGAAAUGAACAUUUUCAAUCGACUUCGGUCGGUUUUCUGGGUAAGUUUUUAGCAGAAUACAAUUAUUUUUGGCAGACAUCGGUCGAAAUUUGUAUAUGUGUCAGACGUAGCAUUGUUUCUUUAUUGUGGGACCACUAUUUUCGACCGGUGGUGGUCGGUAUCUUUGUGAGAAAUAUUUUAUUUGACUUUUGCGACCAAUUUACCUAUUUUCCGACCGAUUUCGGUCGGUAUUCUGUGGACGGAUUUUGACAGUUUUCUAGUAGCUAGUGUCCUGGAAUUAAACAAUAAAAUGAUACAUUUGUUUAUCUUCAAAACUCUUCUCCUGAGCUAAUUAACAUUGAAAAUAAAAAUUUAUCCCACUUUAUUUAGUUUAAAUCAAACAAGUAUUUAUAUUAUACAUGCAGAUCCCAUUUUUAGUCUAAUAAACUAAACAUCUACCAAUAAAAAUAUACCUACUAAAUAAUCUUAUCAUGAUUAAUCCUAAUAUUAUAAUUCCAUUUAUUAUUAAUCCCAGAAUAUAGAAUACCAAAGGUUAUGAUGGAGUGAUACUUAUUCAUUCAUUCUUAACGAGAGAUCUAAGAUUCAAGUCGUAUUUGUUAAGGAACACUUUAUUCUCUAAACGUGGAACUUUCUGAUGUGAACCCGAAUUUGAGUCGGACUCCAAAGUUAAUAUAGAUACUAAUGAGAAACUACAAAGAAUCCCAAAUAUUGUUCACCAACCAAACGAGCCGUGAGAUGGGAGCAUAAUUAUACUUUUGUUUGGAAACCAGAAAUUGGUGUUCAUGAGAGGAAGAAAAACUAAAAAAUUAGUAGAUAAAGAAGCUAAGUGAAAAAGAAACAGUUUACCUUCUAUAUAUUGUUUUAGUUUGGAAAGAAAAAAAAACAUUUUUCAUUGUUGGAGUGUCAAAGGAACUGAAUUUUAGUGGACACGUAAAUAAAUUAAACUAAAAUGAAAAGAUUUAUGUAGACGAGAUAUCAUAAACUCUCAAUUCUCUAGAUUUUCUUGCAUGCGUUCAGUAGGGUGGAUUUAAUGAUUCAACAAUUAUCCUUUAAUACAUAUCUCUUAUAUAUUAUCAUUCUUUUUUCUCAAAAAAAGAAAAAGAAAAAGAGAGACGAUUAGCCGUGGAAAAAUCUUCCCACUUUUUGCUUUCAUCAUUUCCUUCCUUUUUCCAACUUACUCCAAUUGGUUUGAUAAACGAAAAAACACACAGUACUCUCAAAAGAACAAAUUCUAUCAUCAUGACUAUUGCCCUUUGAUUUUACUUGUAUAUAUUGAUAGGGUUAAAAUAUGCACUUAAAUCUAUUAUAAUAAAAAAUCAAUUUUAUUUUUAAGGUUACUAAUAUUAAUAUUAUUUAUUGUGAAUAAUUAAUUUCAGUUUUUUUCCCGAUACUAAUCUUACUUUUUAUAAAUAAUUAUUUAUAAUUAAUUUUUAACUGAUCUAAUUAUGUAAAAGUUUUUUCGACACUUAUUAACACUUUCAAGUUUCAAGGUAUAGAAGGUAAAUUCUAAAGAAAAAAGAGUAAACAAGGGCAACAUCCAAAUACUCAUUUCUUUAAAUCUACACAGACAAGACCACCCAAACAGAAAAUUAAAAAUAGGAAAGUUUACAAUUCACAAUAUCACGUGAAAGAAGCAAGAAGUCCCAUGAAAAAAAAAUAGUAAAAAAAGAAAGAUAAAAUAUAUCACCAACCAAGAGCAUCAAGAAUACCUAAAACAACAUCACAAAUAUGCUUAAAUCCAUC
RNAcentral lists this long non-coding RNA (32714 nucleotides) under Nicotiana tabacum (common tobacco). Its description in RNAcentral is "long non-coding RNA (NTAB_LNC016773)". Lineage: Eukaryota; Viridiplantae; Streptophyta; Magnoliopsida; Solanales; Solanaceae. The record is from RNAcentral.